CCAUUAACUGGUUCAAAGACUCAUGGCUCUGCCUGUGCCCUAGUCAUUGGUAGUGCAGGGAGAGGAUGCUGAAAGCCUUUCCCUGUGUUUGGAUGAUUUACUCCUGUCCUUGCCAAACUCUGGUGUUUUCGAACA
Acomys russatus (golden spiny mouse) is the source of this 135-nucleotide small nucleolar RNA. RefSeq annotates it as small nucleolar RNA SNORA71. NCBI's taxonomy places the organism in Eukaryota, Metazoa, Chordata, Mammalia, Rodentia, Muridae. The transcript has a single exon. The record is from RefSeq and is a predicted model, not a curated record.